This 852-nucleotide ribosomal RNA is filed under the name Schismatomma pericleum. Its description in RNAcentral is "LSU rRNA". It matches the Rfam family "Eukaryotic large subunit ribosomal RNA", at positions 72 to 941 of the family's 3401-position model. The record is from RNAcentral. Lineage: Eukaryota; Fungi; Ascomycota; Arthoniomycetes; Arthoniales; Roccellaceae.
GGAUUGCCCUAGUAACGGCGAGUGAAGCGGCAACAGCUCAAAUUUGAAAUCUGGCCCCCUCGGGGUCCGAGUUGUAAUUUGCAGAGGAUGCUUCGGCGUUGGCCCCGGGUCAAGUCCCCUGGAACGGGGCGUCCAAGAGGGUGAGAGCCCCGUACUCACCCGGGUGCCCAGCGCCUCGUGAAGCUCCUUCGACGAGUCGAGUUGUUUGGGAAUGCAGCUCUAAGUGGGAGGUAAAUUUCUUCUAAAGCUAAAUACUGGCCAGAGACCGAUAGCGCACAAGUAGAGUGAUCGAAAGAUGAAAAGCACUUUGGAAAGAGAGUUAAAAAGCACGUGAAAUUGUUGAAAGGGAAGCUCUUGCCGCCAGACUUGCCGCGGUUGCUCAGCCGCCCUCCGGGGCGGUGUACUCUUCCGCAGGCAGGCCAGCGUCGGUUCGGGCGGCCGGAUAAAGGCCCCGGGAAUGUAGCACCCUCCGGGGUGUGUUAUAGCCCGGGGCGCAAUGCGGCCAGCCCGGUCCGAGGGACGCGUUCGCGAGGACGUUGGCGUAAUGGCUGCAAGCGACCCGUCUUGAAACACGGACCAAGGAGUCUAACAUCUGUGCGAGUGUUUGGGUGUCAAACCCAUGCGCGUAAUGAAAGUGAACGGAGGUGGGAACCCCCUCGAGGGGCGCACCAUCGACCGAUCCUGAUGUCUUCGGAUGGAUUUGAGUAAGAGCAUAGCUGUUGGGACCCGAAAGAUGGUGAACUAUUCCCGGAUAGGGUGAAGCCAGAGGAAACUCUGGUGGAGGCUCGCAGCGGUUCUGACGUGCAAAUCGAUCGUCAAAUCUAGGAAUAGGGGCGAAAGACUAAUCGAACC